UAACCUGGUUGAUCCUGCCAGUAGCAUAUGCUUGUCUCAAAGAUUAAGCCAUGCAUGUCUAAGUAUAAAUAGUAUACAGUGAAACUGCGAAUGGCUCAUUAAAACAGUUAUAGUUUAUUUGAUAAUGGAAAGCUAUAUGGAUAACCGUGGUAAUUCUAGAGCUAAUACAUGCUGUCAAACCCGACUUUCGAGGAAAGGUUGUAUUUAUUAGAUAUUUAGCCAAUGGUCCCUUCACGGGGAUUAUUGUGGUGAGUCAUAGUAACUGAUCGAAUCUCCUUAUGUGAGAUAAAUCAUUCAAGUUUCUGCUCUAUCAGCUUGAUGGUAGUGUAUUGGACUACCAUGGCAGUCACGGGUAACGGAGAAUUAGGGUUCGAUUCCGGAGAGGGAGCCUGAGAAACGGCUACCACAUCUAAGGAAGGCAGCAGGCGCGUAAAUUACCCAAUCCUGAUUCAGGGAGGUAGUGACAAGAAAUAACAACCUGGGGAUCUCAUGAUCUUACGGGAUUGCAAUGAGAACAAUUUAAAUCUCUUAACGAGUAACAAUUGGAGGGCAAGUCUGGUGCCAGCAGCCGCGGUAAUUCCAGCUCCAAUAGCGUAUAUUAAAGUUGUUGCAGUUAAAAAGCUCGUAGUUGAACUUCUGGCGGCGUGCCGGUAAGGCUUCGGUCUGCCGGAUUAGCGUCGUCAUCCGUCUGCAAACCUCGUUCGACCUUCACUGGUUCGGCGAGUUGAGUAGACAAUUUACUUUGAAAAAAUUAGAGUGUUUCAAGCAGGCAAUAGCCCGAAUACUUUAGCAUGGAAUAAUGGAAUAGGACUCUGUCCAUAUAUUUAAAUUGGCUGUGGGGCAUGAGUAAUGAUUAAUAGGGACAGUUGGGGGCAUUAGUAUUUAAUUGUCAGAGGUGAAAUUCUGGAUUAUUAAGACUAACUAUGCGAAAGCAUUGCCAAGGAUGUUUUCAUUAUCAAGAACGAAAGUUAGGGGAUCAAAGACGAUCAGAUACCGUCCUAGUCUUAACUAUAAACGAUGCCGACUCGGGAUUGGAAGGUGUACUAUAAAACCCUUUCAGCACCGUAAUGAGAAAUCAAAGUCUUUGGGUUCUGGGGGGAGUAUGGUCGCAAGGCUGAAACUUAAAGGAAUUGACGGAAGGACACCACCAGGAGUGGGGCCUGCGGCUUAAUUUGACUCAACGCGGGAAAACUUACCAGGUUAAAACAUGAGUGUGAUUGACAGAUUGAGAGCUCUUUCUUGAUUGUAUGGGUGGUGGUGCAUGGCCGUUCUUAGUUGGUGGAGUGAUUUGUCUGGUUAAUUCCGUUAACGAACGAGACCUUAACCUGCUAACUAGUUCCUUCGUGAUUUAACGGGGGAUACUUCUUAGAGGGACUAUGGGAUUCAAGCCCAUGGAAGUUUGAGGCAAUAACAGGUCUGUGAUGCCCCUAGAUAUCCUGGGCCGCACGCGUUCCACAAUGACUUGUUCAGAAAGUACCAUCCUGGCUCGGAAGAGUACGGGUAACCUUUUCAAUGCAAGUCGUAUUAGGGAUCGAUCUUUGGAAUUAUAGAUCUUGAACGAGGAAUUCCUAGUAAGUGCAAGUCAUCAGCUUGUACUGAUUACGUCCCUGCCCUUUGUACACACCGCCCGUCGCUCCUACCGAUUUCGAGUGAUAAGGUGAACCUUCUGGACUGCUUUCGAGCGGGAAGUUAAGUAAACCUUAUUACUUAGAGGAAGGAGAAGUCGUAACAAGGUUUCCGUAGGUGAACCUGCAGAUGGAUC
Molecule: ribosomal RNA, 1762 nt
Filed under: uncultured marine eukaryote
Lineage: Eukaryota
Description: SSU rRNA
Rfam family: Eukaryotic small subunit ribosomal RNA
Source: RNAcentral